GUGAGUCAUCGAGUCUUUGAACGCACCUUGCACCGUAUGAGCAAUUGUACGGUAUACCUGUUUGAGAAUCGUAAACCCCCAUCACUUACUUGUAAGUGGAGUUGUUCGGCUUAUGAGUAAUCAUGGCUGAUCAAAUGGAUUAGGUCUGGAUCAGGCUGGUGGCCUGAGACACUGUGUGCUAGAGACUAAGCAGUCUUAACCGACUGGUCUGUCUUCUCACGGUGCGUCUCGGGUCAUUCAAAGCUGGCCUGCCAAGGACCUUAAUUGCGCAUAGCCUCGUGCUAUGGCAGCCCCCCCUUUUGAUCUCAAAUCAGGUAAGGCUACCCGCUGAACUUAAGCAUAUCAAUAAGCGGAGG
Molecule: ribosomal RNA, 356 nt
Filed under: uncultured fungus
Lineage: Eukaryota; Fungi
Description: eukaryotic LSU rRNA
Rfam family: Eukaryotic large subunit ribosomal RNA (bases 301-356)
Source: RNAcentral